AGCAGCCGCGGUAAUUCCAGCUCCAAUAGCGUAUAUUAAAGUUGUUGCAGUUAAAAAGCUCGUAGUUGAAUUUCGGGAUUGACACAUCGGUCGUGCCUUAAGGGGUAUGAACUGGUGUAGUCAAUUUCUCACCUUCUGGAGAACCGCGAUGCCCUUAAUUGGGUGUCGCGGGGAACCAGGACCUUUACUUUGAAAAAAUUAGAGUGUUUAAAGCAGGCAUUUUGCUUGAAUACAUUAGCAUGGAAUAAUAAAAUAGGACGGCAUGAUUCUAUUUUGUUGGUUUCUAGGAUCACCGUAAUGAUUAAUAGGGAUAGUUGGGGGCAUUAGUAUUCAAUUGUCAGAGGUGAAAUUCUUGGAUUUAUUGAAGACUAACUACUGCGAAAGCAUUUGCCAAGGAUGUUUUCAUUAAUCAAGAACGAAAGUUAGGGGAUCGAAGACGAUCAGAUACCG
RNAcentral lists this ribosomal RNA (450 nucleotides) under uncultured Glomeromycotina. RNAcentral's name for it is "SSU rRNA". It matches the Rfam family "Eukaryotic small subunit ribosomal RNA", at positions 569 to 1017 of the family's 1831-position model. RNAcentral also lists the same sequence under 1 other name. The record is from RNAcentral. Lineage: Eukaryota; Fungi; Glomeromycota.